GCGCCCGUAGCUCAAUUGGAUAGAGCAUCUGACUUCGGAUCAGAGGGUUAGGGGUUCGAGUCCCUUCGGGCGUGCCA
Molecule: transfer RNA, 77 nt
Filed under: Candidatus Cloacimonadota bacterium
Lineage: Bacteria; Pseudomonadati; Candidatus Cloacimonadota
Description: tRNA-Arg
Rfam family: tRNA
About the family: Transfer RNA (tRNA) molecules are approximately 80 nucleotides in length.
Source: RNAcentral